Molecule: transfer RNA, 27 nt
Filed under: Ficedula hypoleuca
Lineage: Eukaryota; Metazoa; Chordata; Aves; Passeriformes; Muscicapidae
Also listed under: 1 other name
Description: partial tRNA-Phe
Source: RNAcentral
GUUCUUGUAGCUUACAAAAAGCAUGGC